RNAcentral lists this non-coding RNA (30 nucleotides) under Rattus norvegicus (Norway rat). Lineage: Eukaryota; Metazoa; Chordata; Mammalia; Rodentia; Muridae. The record is from RNAcentral.
UUCUACUGGAGCGGUCUCACCCUUGAUGUA